GAUGAAGAACGCAGCGAAAUGCGAUAAGUAAUGUGAAUUGCAGAAUUCAGUGAAUCAUCGAAUCUUUGAACGCACAUUGCGCCCGCCAGUAUUCUGGCGGGCAUGCCUGUUCGAGCGUCAUUUAAACCUUCAAGCUAAGCUUGGUGUUGGGUGACUGUCCGCUUCACGGCGGACUCGCCUCAAAAUUAUUGGCGGCCGGUACAUUGGCUUCGAGCGCAGCAGAAACGCGAACUCGGGCCCGUCGUAUUGGCUCCCAGAAGCUAUCUUCACAAUUUUGACCUCGGAUCAGGUAGGGAUACCCGCUGAACUUAAGCAUAUCAAUAAGCGGAGGA
RNAcentral lists this unclassified non-coding RNA (332 nucleotides) under soil metagenome. RNAcentral describes it as "partial contains 5.8S ribosomal RNA, internal transcribed spacer 2, and large subunit ribosomal RNA". The stretch from base 1 to 120 matches the Rfam family "5.8S ribosomal RNA", at positions 35 to 154 of the family's 154-position model. The record is from RNAcentral.